GUUGAUACUCUGCUCUCUUCCAGAUAUGCAGACGCAGCUACACCCAUGGAUACUGCUGCAAGAAAUGCACCCACACUGUGAGACCAAUCCACCUAAACCCUCUUUUUCUCCCUUCGGUAUAGAUAUUUGAAAGGCCACUGUCAGGUCUCCUCAAAGCCUUCUCUCCUCCGGGCUGAACAGCCCCAGCUCUCUCAGCCUGUCCUUGCAGGGGAGGUGUUCCACCCCUGGCAUCAUUUCGGUGGCCCUCCUCUGGACACGCUCCAAUAGAUCCAUGUCUCUCCUGUACUGAGGACUCCAGAUCUAGAUGCAGUACUCCAGCUGCCUGCUGAAUGCAUCGCCACUGCAAAGGGAGAUAAACCCUGCUGCAACAGUUUACUGAUAGCAUCAGUGUUCCAUCUAAAGCAAACGCUAAAUCACGGAAAUCAACAGUUCAUGCAGAGAUCUGUGAUCAGUGGGCUCCAGAACCCAGGCAGCACUGUGAUUUUGCAUCGGAAUACAGGAAAUCACAGCUCAACUUUCUAUAUGAGCACAACAGUGAGCAAGAUGCAAACUUGGCAAAGCACUUUUGGCGAUUUGGGGACAGAAGGGAAAUUGAUUUUCUUAUUUGUUGCAAUUAUUUGCUAUAUAUUCCCCACAAAUUGCUCUUUCCUGUGGCCCUUUUAGAGGCAGUUCUUUGUAUUUGAUAAGCACAAUCUCAGAUACGGGACACACAUCAAACAGCAUAUUUGAGAUGUCUGAUAGGAUUAUAGUCAUCCUUAAGUUCAUAUUUCCUGUGGCAGAUUCAUGAUUAUGAGUUCAAAAAAUCCAUUUGUGUGCAUGAUUUGUAACCAUUAUGUAAAAGUCAGUCUUAUUGUAAACAAUUCUGCAGUUAACUCAUUCUGCCAAAUAUUCUUACAGAGGAAGUAGAAGUGGCUGUAAUUCAGUCAAGGCAAAUCCAAAGCAUAUUUGCUGGAUUUUCACCGUAUGUCUUCAAAAUGAGCAGCUCCAUCUGGCUAUGUUUUAUUGUUUUUCAAUAGAAAAGUGCCAAUAAUAGCAUGAAGCGAUGAGAUCAGAAACUUUUUUGUUAUCUAGGAAAAGCCAUGGAUUACCUUCUAGCUGUAUAUGUUUUCAUACAGUUUCUUUGCUUGUCCACUGCAUUCUGACUGUAUUCCCAGGCAGAAAUCCUAGCCCCAGCUGAUCUAGAAGAAAUUUUAUCUUUGAUUUGAGCAGAACUAGAAUUUUAACUUCAUUGAUUCACCUGGAUUCAUACUGCUUGAACUGCCUUGAAAAAUGAAGUUUUCAUAUCCUGACUCCUAAUCAAUGGGAGUAACGCUUUCAGUAAAUGCCAGUC
This is a long non-coding RNA of Gallus gallus (chicken), 1330 nucleotides long. NCBI's taxonomy places the organism in Eukaryota, Metazoa, Chordata, Aves, Galliformes, Phasianidae. The record is from Ensembl.